RNAcentral lists this ribosomal RNA (412 nucleotides) under uncultured deep-sea archaeon. RNAcentral's name for it is "bacterial SSU rRNA". It matches the Rfam family "Archaeal small subunit ribosomal RNA", at positions 384 to 804 of the family's 1478-position model. The record is from RNAcentral.
AGUGUUCAAUAGAACUGUGGUAGGUGAGUAAUGUCCCCUACUAGAAAGGAGAGGGCAAGGCUGGUGCCAGCCGCCGCGGUAAAACCAGCUCUUCAAGUGGUCGGGAUAAUUAUUGGGCUUAAAGUGUCCGUAGCCGGUUUAGUAAGUUCCUGGUAAAAUCGGGUAGCUUAACUAUCUGCAUGCUAGGAAUACUGCUAUACUAGAGGGCGGGAGAGGUCUGAGGUACUACAGGGGUAGGGGUGAAAUCUUAUAAUCCUUGUAGGACCACCAGUGGCGAAGGCGUCAGACUGGAACGCGCCUGACGGUGAGGGACGAAAGCCAGGGGAGCGAACCGGAUUAGAUACCCGGGUAGUCCUGGCCGUAAACGAUGCAUACUAGGUGAUGGUACGGCCAUGAGCCGUAUCAGUGCCGU